This 558-nucleotide ribosomal RNA is filed under the name Massilia agri. Its description in RNAcentral is "bacterial SSU rRNA". It matches the Rfam family "Bacterial small subunit ribosomal RNA", at positions 365 to 917 of the family's 1533-position model. Lineage: Bacteria; Pseudomonadati; Pseudomonadota; Betaproteobacteria; Burkholderiales; Oxalobacteraceae. The record is from RNAcentral.
AGGAUGCUGGGCGCAGCCUGAUCCAGCAAUGCCGCGUGAGUGAAGAAGGCCUUCGGGUUGUAAAGCUCUUUUGUCAGGGAAGAAACGGCUGAGGUUAAUACCUUCGGCUAAUGACGGUACCUGAAGAAUAAGCACCGGCUAACUACGUGCCAGCAGCCGCGGUAAUACGUAGGGUGCAAGCGUUAAUCGGAAUUACUGGGCGUAAAGCGUGCGCAGGCGGUUUUGUAAGUCUGUCGUGAAAGCCCCGGGCUCAACCUGGGAAUUGCGAUGGAGACUGCAAGGCUUGAAUCUGGCAGAGGGGGGUAGAAUUCCACGUGUAGCAGUGAAAUGCGUAGAGAUGUGGAGGAACACCGAUGGCGAAGGCAGCCCCCUGGGUCAAGAUUGACGCUCAUGCACGAAAGCGUGGGGAGCAAACAGGAUUAGAUACCCUGGUAGUCCACGCCCUAAACGAUGUCUACUAGUUGUCGGGUUUUAAUUAACUUGGUAACGCAGCUAACGCGUGAAGUAGACCGCCUGGGGAGUACGGUCGCAAGAUUAAAACUCAAUGAAAUUGACGGA